Molecule: long non-coding RNA, 358 nt
Organism: Oncorhynchus nerka (sockeye salmon)
Lineage: Eukaryota; Metazoa; Chordata; Actinopteri; Salmoniformes; Salmonidae
Exons: 2
Source: RefSeq, a predicted model, not a curated record
GUGUGUUAACGUGUUCCUGCUGCAGGGUUUGAGAUCCCGGAUGUGGAGGCAGAGAAGCUGAUGUCUCCUCAGGAUAUCGUCCAGUACAUCGCUGACAAGAAGGACGUGUAUGAAUAACAAUGAACCGGGGAACUACUAACACCCCCAGAAGUCCUGAUGAUGCUGUCCGACUGGCUGGGCUGGGCAGCGUCUCCCUCCCCCCCGCCGCCCACCACUUCAUCGGUCCCUCUUCUCCUCCUCCGUUCUCUCUGUGGCAGCCGAUGCCAUUUUGUCUUGUGUUCCACUGUAUUUAAUGAACAUGUGUAUUUUCCUCCUGAGUUCGGGAGGUGAAUAAAUAAACAUCACUUUUAUGGUUGGA